UACGUAGGUGGCGAGCGUUGUCCGGAAUUACUGGGCGUAAAGGGUGCGCAGGCGGUUAGAUAAGUCAGAUGUGAAAUUCCGGGGCUUAACUUCGGAAUUGCAUUUGAAACUGUCUGGCUAGAGUGCAGGAGAGGGAAGCGGAAUUCCUAGUGUAGCGGUGAAAUGCGUAGAUAUUAGGAAGAACACCAGUGGCGAAGGCGGCUUUCUGGACUGUAACUGACGCUGAGGCACGAAAGCGUGGGGAGCAAAC
RNAcentral lists this ribosomal RNA (250 nucleotides) under uncultured bacterium. RNAcentral describes it as "partial 16S ribosomal RNA". It matches the Rfam family "Bacterial small subunit ribosomal RNA", at positions 524 to 773 of the family's 1533-position model. The record is from RNAcentral.